UAUCUCGCUGUCCGUCAAUCAGGAGGCCUUUUCAUCACGCCCGUCGUGCCAUUUUUAAUCUCUUAGCUCUUUCACCUCUAAGUGGUUUCUGUAUUCAGUGAUUGGCGUGAGAAGGGACACGGAGUACCCUACCAACAUGAACACGUGUGAGGGGAACGCGUCGGAUGAAAGCACACAGGAGAGCACUGCCAAUAACAAAGAUGUCAACCCGGACGGCAGUGGUGGAAAAAUACCAAAGGAAGUAAACGAGGAACACAACAUCAACCAGAGGAUUACAGCUGUGGAAAGCUUCGAGAAUACUUAUAGGAAAGAGGCACCAGAUCUAUGGAAGCGGCGGUUGGAGCCAAAGAAAGGGUCCGCGAAGGUGAA
Molecule: long non-coding RNA, 369 nt
Organism: Eriocheir sinensis (Chinese mitten crab)
Lineage: Eukaryota; Metazoa; Arthropoda; Malacostraca; Decapoda; Varunidae
Exons: 3
Source: RefSeq, a predicted model, not a curated record